UGCGUAGGCGGAACUUUAAGUCAGUGGUGAAAUCCUGCGGCUCAACCGUAGAACUGCCAUUGAUACUGAAGUUCUUGAAUGCAGUUGAGGUAGGCGGAAUGUGUAAUGUAGCGGUGAAAUGCUUAGAUAUUACACAGAACACCGAUUGCGAAGGCAGCUUGCUAAACUGUGAUUGACGCUGAUGCACGAAAGCGUGGGGAGCGAACAGGAUUAGAUACCCUGGUAGUCC
RNAcentral lists this ribosomal RNA (229 nucleotides) under uncultured bacterium. RNAcentral describes it as "partial 16S ribosomal RNA". It matches the Rfam family "Bacterial small subunit ribosomal RNA", at positions 568 to 796 of the family's 1533-position model. The record is from RNAcentral.